RNAcentral lists this long non-coding RNA (932 nucleotides) under Homo sapiens (human). Its description in RNAcentral is "HSALNT0199829". Lineage: Eukaryota; Metazoa; Chordata; Mammalia; Primates; Hominidae. The record is from RNAcentral.
GGACAAUGAUACGUGCUCUGUUCUAGGAUAUAGGAGACUUAAGGUCUGUUUCUAUGUGCUGUGCAUCCUUGGAGAAAUGAAAUAAAAGCAUAUUUAUAAGCUGAGUUUUAUUUUAAUCUUUCCAACUGCCUCAUGACAAACAAGCCUACAUGACAAACAAGUACAUUAUAAACACUAAAAAGGCAUAUUAUAUUAUCUCUGACAAAAUACACAAGAUGACAUUAUGGAAAGUAACUAAGGAAGGUAAGAGGUAGACAAUAUGAUUUCUAUUUUCCUGUGUGGAAACUGAGUCUCAGAGAAAUUAAUUGACUUGCCGAGGCUCACUAGCUGGAUGAGCAGAGGCUUUGAAUCCAUGUCUCUCACACUCUGCAGCCCAAGCUCUUACCUACUACUUUGGGUUCUAGUACAGCGGUUUCAGCCGAUCUGGGGUCAAAUCGUAGCUCUGCCACUUACCAGCUAUGCAGACUAGGAGUCUGAAGCACUCUGCAAGAAGUCCUUCCACUCUGCUGGCGAAAGUAGAGAGGAAAUGAGAAUGGGCCUAGCUGAGCUCACCUUCCUCUCUCCCCACCAAGGCAUCAGGGAUGUGAGUGAAGCCAUCCUGGACCCUUCAGGCCAGAUCAGCUGUCUGGCGAAUAUCAACAAGUGACUUGAAUGAAUGACAGUGUCAUGUUGAGCAGAAGAACAGUGUCAUGUUGAGCAGUGCCACGUUGAGCAGAACUGCCCAGUUGGUCUCUGCCUGAAUUCCUGACCCACAAGAUUAUGAUCUAUAAUAAAAUGCUUAUUGUUUCAAUCCAUCAAAUAUUUGUUCUAAACAAUAGAAAACCAGAACCACAGCCCUCAAUAAAUCUUUCUUGAACUGAACUGACCAAAAUGCCCCAGCAUUUGGGAAUUUUUGGUUAUGACAUUUGUACAGAUAUUCUCCCUCCUCAGCU